This 71-nucleotide transfer RNA is filed under the name Marmota monax (woodchuck). It matches the Rfam family "tRNA". Rfam says of the family: Transfer RNA (tRNA) molecules are approximately 80 nucleotides in length. Their secondary structure includes four short double-helical elements and three loops (D, anti-codon, and T loops). Lineage: Eukaryota; Metazoa; Chordata; Mammalia; Rodentia; Sciuridae. The record is from Rfam by way of RNAcentral.
GCAGUUGUGCCUCAGUGGUAGAGUGCUUGCCUAGCAUGCAUGAAGACCUGGGUUCAAUCCUCAGCACCUCA